AGUCGACGAACAAGUCGUUCAUACAGACGUCGCGCGCCAAGCAAAACCGACAGCGGUCGGCUAGGUUCGAGAGUUUGCGUUUCCUCGACAUAAUGACUAGGCUUUGGCGCUGGAUUCUUUACUCCUGGCGAUGCUCCACUACCUCCUGUGGGCCGCCACAGGCACCCUCGGCAACAUCAAGUGACGCUCACGCAAUAUACAAGCACUGCCUACUUAUAGGUUAUACGCUGGCUGACGCGCGUAUAAUGACCCGUUUUCGCUUCUCACACACUUACACCAUCCGGACUGUACUCAUAGAUUGUUACGUAGAGGCCGCGAAAUCUAUGCAGUAGUCGCGUCUACGCCGUACUCCAGAGUGUUCAGACCGCGAGAGUUGGAGGGGAGAAUCGUCGGAAAAGGGCGCGAGAGGCGCGAGUCGUCAGUCACGUCGAGUUUGCUGAUGUACGCCAUUCGCCUUCAACUCCUUUGGCUCCAUGUGGUAUUGUGGUCAUUGCUCGUAGGUUUUGGACCGUCCACUAUUCGCCUUGUUAAGUAUCCAUCAGCGCCACGAAGUCCGUGUAAAAUUAAAUGGUGUGGAGAAGUUAGGAACCUUGAGUAGGUUGUCGUUAACAAGGCGAAUAAAGUAGAUUUUUCGUUAUCUUUUAGCUGCUUUUGGUCGAGUGACGUAUAAGUAUAUAUACGAUGACGAUGCAGGCGCGCGAGAAAUCAUGAAACAGUAAGAAACUUGAAAUAAUUUUCUUUUUAUUUUUGUAUGCUUUCAUGCGAGUAUAAAAAGAAUAUUUACAUCGUCACGUGUUAUUGGACUAUACACAUGAAUAAUAAUGACCUAGCGUAUGAGUUAUUUUCCCAUUAAAGAUUUAAAAAACAAACUAAUUAUUAUUUCUAUUAAAUUUCACUCUCUUUUUGCUUUGAUCUAGAUAGCGCGAGCAAUUGACCCUAAAAAAGACAACGACAAAAAGUCUUCACAACUCUUUAUGCAUACAAAUUCUAUAAUUUUUUUAAAAAUUCAUAAUUUUAUCAUAAUAAUAAAACAGUCAUUUAAUCGA
Molecule: long non-coding RNA, 1046 nt
Organism: Nasonia vitripennis (jewel wasp)
Lineage: Eukaryota; Metazoa; Arthropoda; Insecta; Hymenoptera; Pteromalidae
Exons: 2
Source: RefSeq, a predicted model, not a curated record